AAACGGCCGCGUUAGCGUGAGCGUGCUAAGGUAGCGUAAUAAAUAGCCUCUUAAUUGGAGGCCAGUGAAUGGCAAGACUAGGAAUAUCUGUACCAUAUAUGUAAAAAAAACUUUUCAUCUGAGUGAAAAGACUCAGAUAACGAAGGAAGACGAAAAGACCCCGCGGAACUUUACCUUUUCCAGUCUCACAUGCUAAUGAACACAAAAACGAAAGGUUUGAUUGGGGCAAUCUCGGAACAAACCAAGCUUCCGAUUUACCGCAAAAGAAUAUACGAAAUUCUAUAAAGACCAAAAAGAAGUUACCCCGGGGAUAACAGCGUAAUCUAACUUGAGAGUACACAUCGAAAGUUAGGUUUGCGACCUCGAUGUUGGCUUAAG
Molecule: ribosomal RNA, 378 nt
Filed under: Reginaia ebena
Lineage: Eukaryota; Metazoa; Mollusca; Bivalvia; Unionida; Unionidae
Description: partial 16S ribosomal RNA
Rfam family: Bacterial large subunit ribosomal RNA
Source: RNAcentral